This 240-nucleotide unclassified non-coding RNA is filed under the name soil metagenome. RNAcentral's name for it is "partial contains 5.8S ribosomal RNA, internal transcribed spacer 2, and large subunit ribosomal RNA". The record is from RNAcentral.
AACCAUAGAAACCUGCGGAGUACCUGCGGAAGGAUCAUUACAGAGUUGCAAAACUCCCUAAACCAUUGUGAACGUUACCUAGACCGUUGCUUCGGCGGGCGGCCCGGGUCCUUCCCGGCGCCCAUCGGCCCUCGCGGGCGCCCGCCGGAGGUAAACCAAACUAUUGCAUUGUAUGGCCUCUCUGAGUCUUCUGUACUGAAUAAGUCAAAACUUUCAACAAUGGAUCUCAGAUCGGAAGAG